GAAGCUGCCGCUUGGCAGGAGCUUCUUGAUUGCAUCGCCCUCCAUGUGCCAGAUGUCGAUACCGGCCUGGACGAGGUUCGGUGGCGCCUUGAACCAUCGGGGCAAUUCUCCACCAAGUCCCUCUACUUUGCCAUCGCCCCCUCCACUGCACCGCCUCCCCUCCUAGCUGUAUGGGCCAUUCGCGUUCCUCUGAAGAUCCGGAUCUUCUUGUGGCAGUGGAUCCGCGGUUGGCUCCCGUCCGGGGUUGAGGUCCGCAAGCGCAAUGGUCCGGGCUCUGGCCUGUGCCCGCUCUGCAGUACCCCCGAGGACUCGAACCACAUCUUCUUCAACUGCGUUUCUGCCCAGUUUAUGUGGAGUUGCUUUAGAGAGGCGGUCGGUGGUAACUGGAGCCACACCAACUUCCCUGACCUCUUCGACGAACUCCGGACCUCCCCUUGCCCACUCGCCACAUUAGGUGGCUGGAGAUUGGGGCCCUCGCGUGGACCAUCUGGACGAUUCUCAACAAGCUUGUGA
Molecule: ribosomal RNA, 513 nt
Filed under: Triticum aestivum (bread wheat)
Lineage: Eukaryota; Viridiplantae; Streptophyta; Magnoliopsida; Poales; Poaceae
Description: partial small subunit ribosomal RNA
Source: RNAcentral